GAUGAACGCUGGCGGUAUGCUUAACACAUGCAAGUCGAACGGACACUUUCGGGUGUUAGUGGCGGACGGGUGAGUAACGCGUGAGAAUCUGCCUUUAGGUUCGGGACAACCAUUGGAAACGAUGGCUAAUACCGGAUAUGCAGCGAUGUGAAAGAUAUAUUGCCUAAAGAUGAGCUCGCGUCUGAUUAGCUAGUUGGUGGGGUAAAGGCCUACCAAGGCGACGAUCAGUAACUGGUCUGAGAGGAUGAUCAGUCACACUGGAACUGAGACACGGUCCAGACUCCUACGGGAGGCAGCAGUGGGGAAUUUUCCGCAAUGGGCGAAAGCCUGACGGAGCAAUACCGCGUGAGGGAGGAAGGCUCUUGGGUUGUAAACCUCUUUUCUUAGGGAAGAACAAAAUGACGGUACCUAAGGAAUAAGCAUCGGCUAACUCCGUGCCAGCAGCCGCGGUAAUACGGAGGAUGCAAGCGUUAUCCGGAAUGAUUGGGCGUAAAGCGUCCGCAGGUGGUUUUGUAAGUCUAUUGUUAAAGCGUCUGGCUCAACCAGAUAAUGGCGGUGGAAACUACAAGACUAGAGUCCGUUCGGGGCAGAGGGAAUUCCUGGUGUAGCGGUGAAAUGCGUAGAGAUCAGGAAGAACACCGGUGGCGAAAGCGCUCUGCUAGGCCGGAACUGACACUGAGGGACGAAAGCUAGGGGAGCGAAUGGGAUUAGAUACCCCAGUAGUCCUAGCCGUAAACGAUGGAUACUAGGUGUU
RNAcentral lists this ribosomal RNA (754 nucleotides) under uncultured cyanobacterium. RNAcentral's name for it is "bacterial SSU rRNA". It matches the Rfam family "Bacterial small subunit ribosomal RNA", at positions 28 to 824 of the family's 1533-position model. The record is from RNAcentral. Lineage: Bacteria; Bacillati; Cyanobacteriota.